AAAAUUAUAUUUUCUUUCUUUCCUUCUUUUUUUUUUUUUUUGUUUUUUUUUAUACAUUUUGUGUAAUUAAUAAAAUACAGGAAGGAAGGUCUGAGAUGCUGCAAAAAAAGAAUUAAUUAUAUUUCUUAAAAAUAAAUCAAAACUAUUUUUAAUAGUCUUGUAUUUAUUUUUUUAUACUUAUUUCUUUAUUAAUAUUUUUGAGAAAAAUAAUAUUGAACAAAUAUUAAUUAGCUACCAGAAAUAUCAAUCAUAUAUUUAUAGUAGUUUUUUUAAUUAUAAAAAAAUUAUUUAUAUAUAUUUGAUUUUGAAAAAGCUAAUAAGCAAGUAUACAUUGGUGAGUUCGAUUUUUGAGGUUUUUCAGCUACUUUGAUUUUUUUUCAAGUAGUAGAAAAAUAACUUAAUUCAGACUACUCCUAAAUUCAUUCCAAAUUGUUAACAGAAUGUGAAUAUAAAAAAGAGGAGAGGGGACACCUUGAAAAGAUAUGAAAAUACAAAG
Non-coding RNA from Plasmodium yoelii, 496 nucleotides. The record is from RefSeq and is a predicted model, not a curated record. Lineage: Eukaryota; Apicomplexa; Aconoidasida; Haemosporida; Plasmodiidae.